AGUACAGACGAGUUUGAUCCUGGCUCAGAUUGAACGCUGGCGGCAGGCUUAACACAUGCAAGUCGAGCGGAGACUUCGGUCUUAGCGGCGAACGGGUGAGUAAUACCUAGGAAUCUGCCUAUUAGUGGGGGAUAACGGCUCGAAAGGGUCGCUAAUACCGCAUACGUCCUACGGGAGAAAGUGGGGGAUCUUCGGACCUCACGCUAAUAGAUGAGCCUAGGCCGGAUUAGCUAGUUGGUAGGGUAAAGGCCUACCAAGGCGACGAUCCGUAGCUGGUCUGAGAGGAUGAUCAGCCACACUGGAACUGAGACACGGUCCAGACUCCUACGGGAGGCAGCAGUGGGGAAUAUUGGACAAUGGGGGCAACCCUGAUCCAGCCAUGCCGCGUGUGUGAAGAAGGCCUUCGGGUUGUAAAGCACUUUAAGCGAGGAGGAAGGUCUUUGAACUAAUAUUUCAAAGAAUUGACGUUACUCGCAGAAUAAGCACCGGCUAACUCUGUG
This 500-nucleotide ribosomal RNA is filed under the name uncultured bacterium. RNAcentral describes it as "bacterial SSU rRNA". It matches the Rfam family "Bacterial small subunit ribosomal RNA", at positions 1 to 507 of the family's 1533-position model. The record is from RNAcentral.